RNAcentral lists this long non-coding RNA (1726 nucleotides) under Oryctolagus cuniculus (rabbit). RNAcentral's name for it is "lncRNA (ENSOCUG00000034703.1)". Lineage: Eukaryota; Metazoa; Chordata; Mammalia; Lagomorpha; Leporidae. The record is from RNAcentral.
CGAAAGCAUAAGUUGCCAGAAUAACAAGAAGAAAAAGUCCAUGAGAAGGGCUUAACCCAGUUCCUGGCAUAUGGCGAGGCAUUCGUGUAUGACAGUCGCUGAAAUGAAGGUGAUGGCGAAGACUGAUUCAUUUACUGGGGUAUUUUGGCGGCUCAUCUAGCACCUGGCACAGUGCAGUGCUCAAUACAUAUUUGAUGAAUGAAUGAAUGAAAUAUAUGUACUGGCAUAGAAGAAUGUCUAAGAUAUAUAGGUGGGAAAAAUAAGCCUCAGUACAGUUUAUCUACCCAGUCACAUUUGUAGAAAAUACAUUAAAAUUUCUGUUAUAAGGUGAAGACAUAAAUUAUAUAUGGGAGUUACCUCUGAGGAAUGGGCUUAGGAGCCAGCUGAGAAGAGGGAGAGUUCAUUUUUCACUUUAUUUCCUUCUGCACCACUUAAUGUUAUAACAAUGACAGUGCAUUACUUGGAAAAUUAAAAUAAAAAAUCUACUAGGUUCAAAGGAUCACAGGAUGAAUGCUUUCCCAGGAAGUUAUGUUGGCCAUCUUAGGAUUUUCUAUUUUUACUUCAGUCUUCAGUGAAAUGAGAAAUCGCCAUGAGCACCACAGAAGGGACAUGGUAGAAGAGUCAGUACCCCAGAAAGGACAAAUGUCGAUACUAACGGUAAUAACUGCACCACCUUAUGAAAGUGAGUUCCAGCCUCUGAAUCUCCAUUUACUCUUCUACAAGUGAAGACAAUAAUACCUAUCGAAUAGGUAGGUGUGUUAACAUGUAAAAGUUAUAGUGUAAGAUACCUCUAUACAUUCUAUUUGAACAAUUUAAUAUGCAGUGUCUAAACACUGAUAUGCACCUGCCAUUUUCUUGCAAAAGUUCUUAUUGGAUGUUUGUGCUGUUAUCACCUCCUCAGGAGGGGCUGCACCUGCCUCUGCUUGUUUCAGGUCACUAUAAGAAUGUGACAGGACCUGAAAACAGAAGCCGUGAGUUCAAAUCUUGGCUUUGAGUUACAUAGCCAAGAGACUCCCUGAAGUGAGGCAUAAGGCUCCAGAUAAGUGGUGUCUGAUGUUCGUUUUAAUCAGCUUCAUGUUGGUAAUUUAGUUCCAUCUAGAAGAGCAGAGUGAGAGAAAUGAUGCAGGAAUGAGGGUCCAAGCAGGAAAGGGAUAUCAUCCGUGGUGAAUUCUGGAGGGUAUAGCUGAAGAGUAUUAAAUGGAGGAACCUCUUGCAAAGGUGUUGAGUAGGGACAAGAGUGUAAAUAAGGAAGGUGGAGGUCCCCAGAAUCCAGCAGAGGGAAGCUGUAUUAUUUCUAGGGAAGAAGGGACAAGGGGAGACAGAGGAUUCUUGAGGGUGCUGUGAGAAGGGAGUCAUGAGGAAGGGGAUUUCUGGUGGGAUGUGGGAUGAUGGAGAGGUGUAGCCAUGCCCGGGAAGGCUGCAGGGUCAGGAUGGGCAGGGUGAGCAGAGGAAAUGCACCUGCCCCUCUUUCCUCCCACCUACUGAUGUCCUUCCAGAGUCUCCCAUUGGCUGAAGGCUGGAAAGAGGAGGGAUGUUGAUGUCGUCCUGGGGCACAGAGGAGAACUGGGAAUGGUUCUGGAGAAGGGAAGAGGUGGCAGAUGGAGAAUCGCUGGAACAGGAGGCUUCUUGUCUCCACCCGCCUCCUUCUCCCUAAAUUCCCCAGCUGGCCAGUCUUUCUCAAUUCCUUCCCUCCUCCCUUUCUUCUUUCUUUCCUUUUUGACUUCUC